Molecule: ribosomal RNA, 451 nt
Filed under: Candida albicans
Lineage: Eukaryota; Fungi; Ascomycota; Pichiomycetes; Serinales; Debaryomycetaceae
Description: eukaryotic LSU rRNA
Rfam family: Eukaryotic large subunit ribosomal RNA
Source: RNAcentral
AAGGUAUCUUUGGGCCCGGCUCUUGUCUAUGUUCCUUGGAACAGGACGUCACAGAGGGUGAGAAUCCCGUGCGAUGAGAUGACCCGGGUCUGUGUAAAGUUCCUUCGACGAGUCGAGUUGUUUGGGAAUGCAGCUCUAAGUGGGUGGUAAAUUCCAUCUAAAGCUAAAUAUUGGCGAGAGACCGAUAGCGAACAAGUACAGUGAUGGAAAGAUGAAAAGAACUUUGAAAAGAGAGUGAAAAAGUACGUGAAAUUGUUGAAAGGGAAGGGCUUGAGAUCAGACUUGGUAUUUUGCAUGUUGCUCUCUCGGGGGCGGCCGCUGCGGUUUACCGGGCCAGCAUCGGUUUGGAGCGGCAGGAUAAUGGCGGAGGAAUGUGGCACGGCUUCUGCUGUGUGUUAUAGCCUCUGACGAUACUGCCAGCCUAGACCGAGGACUGCGGUUUUUACCUAGG